CGGGGUGAGUAACGCGUGAGGAACCUGCCUCAGAGAGGGGGAUAACACACCGAAAGGUGUGCUAAUACCGCAUAACAUAUGAGAGGGGCAUCCCUUUUAUAUCAAAGAUUUAUUGCUCUGAGAUGGCCUCGCGUCCAAUUAGCUAGUUGGUGAGGUAACGGCCCACCAAGGCGACGAUUGGUAGCCGGACUGAGAGGUUGAACGGCCACAUUGGGACUGAGACACGGCCCAGACUCCUACGGAAGGCAGCAG
This 252-nucleotide ribosomal RNA is filed under the name uncultured bacterium. RNAcentral's name for it is "partial 16S ribosomal RNA". It matches the Rfam family "Bacterial small subunit ribosomal RNA", at positions 100 to 354 of the family's 1533-position model. The record is from RNAcentral.